CCUACGGGUGGCAGCAGUGAGGAAUAUUGGUCAAUGGUCGCGAGCCUGAACCAGCCAAGCCGCGUGAGGGAAGACGGUCCUAUGUAUUGUAAACCUCUUUUGUCGGGGAGCAAAAGACGCUACGCGUGGCGGUCCGAGAGUAACCGAAGAAAAAGCAUCGGCUAACUCCGUGCCAGCAGCAGCGGUAAUACGGAGGAUGGGAGCGUUAUCCGGAUGUAUGGGGUUUAAAGGGUGAGCAAGCGGAAUGUAGAGUCAGCGGUAAAAUUGAGAGGCUCAACCUCGUCGAGUCGUGGACAAUGGUUUUCUUGAGUGCGCGAGAAGUAUGCGGAAUGCGUGGUGUAGCGGUGAAAUGCAUAGAUAGCACGCAGAACUCCGAUUGCGAAGGCAGCAUACCGGCGCUCAACUGACGCUCAUGCACGAAAGUGUGGGUAUCGAACAGGAUUAGAUACCCGGGUAGUC
This 459-nucleotide ribosomal RNA is filed under the name uncultured bacterium. Its description in RNAcentral is "partial 16S ribosomal RNA". It matches the Rfam family "Bacterial small subunit ribosomal RNA", at positions 338 to 795 of the family's 1533-position model. The record is from RNAcentral.